CUCGCGAAACAAUAAGCAAAGGCGUUUAUUUACAAACACCGCCUUGUGCGGACGCUCAGCAAAAGCGCCAAGCUCUCGCUGCCCGUACCGUGUCUCCCGGCCUGUGUUUGCUGGGACAGAGCUCCCUGUCACCGCCGGAGUUGCCUCAUUUACUGCCGUGCAAGAUAGGGCAGGCUCUGUCUGGCAGUCCCACUGACGUAGCAGAAGAGAGAGACGCCUGAAUCGCCAGGGAAGCUGAGAUGUUUUCUCACAGCUCCAUUUAUUCCUUUUGUCCGCUCCACUUAAGAACUAGACGACUAAACUUGUGAGCGUUCAAAUUUUUUGAUCACGUUCGCCGACGCUCUUUUGGAUAAAAGAAAGGUUGCAGAUUUUACAAAAGUGACAUGCACUCCCGUUUGCUAAAAAUCACCUGGCAGCUCAACUGGAUACAGCAGUCUCCAUUUCCUGUCCUCGCUCCGGAAUCCUUGCUGCUAGGGCCUGGCUUUUCUUCCACUGAAGGAGAUGGGAGCUUUGCCAUGGACUGCAGUGGCAGCAGGAGGAGAGCAGACACAGAUUAGGCAAGGUGUUGGAGGAUUUUCUGCAUGCUCUGUAAGUAUUUAGGGAACCGUGUGAUACGUGAUCCUAAAGACGAGGUUAGGCAGUUUGAACUCUUGAGUUAAACCCAGAUAUUUCCAGACAGGCAGAGCUACCUACUGACUGUACAUUUGAGAAAGUACAUCUGAAUUAUUUCUUCUGGCAAGUAUCAAGAGUAUGUUAGUGAAAUGUGCCUGGAUAUGGUAGCUUAAGAUAGAACUAUGCUGGAAAUGUUCCUGCAGCUGCUACUUGGAAAACAUCUGUGGUACUGUGCACGGAAAUUUGUACAUCUCUGUUCACACUAGCGCAGAGCAAUUAAUCUUGGGAAACAAAGUAUACAUUAUUAUUGGGAAAUAUGAGAAGGACAUUAUGCACCAACGGACAUGAAAUGACUAAAGGUAGUUAUCGUUUGGAAAGAAAGGAAAAAAAAUGGAGUAUUCCAUUUCUGGCACAGGAAAUAGAGUAAGAUCGGCAGGCUCGGCAAGACUUCUAGAACUCCAACUGCUAGUUAUUUGAGUAAGAAUAACCAAUCCACUAGACUUGAGGGGUAAAAUUUUUUACACUUACAGUUGCAAAAAACCUUUCAUCUGUGAUAAUUUGUGACAGUCUGUGUUUGUAUAGUCUGAUAAAGGGAAGAAUAUACAGGUUGACAUGAUUUCUUAUUUACGGUUAAUGGUUAUCCCUAUGCAAAGUAUAAAAGACGUUGCCCUGAAGAACUCAAUUUUAGCAAAUGACAUACAAGAACGUAAACUUAAAAAGGUUAAGAAACCCUGGGAAAGGACAAUGAGAUGUAUUUUGUUCACAGCACAUCAGAUAAUUAAGGGAUUUUUCAUUUCUUGAGGCUUUCAAAUUAAGCCUGGGUCAUUGGAAGGUGUGCUUACUGAAAUGUAAUGGCCUGUUGUGUUCAAGAACUUGGACUGGAUAAUCUGAAAAGCGAGUGUGUAAGGAAUUGAGAAUGUCUUUGGUAACACAGCAGAGAGCAGCACGGUGAGAAAUGAGGGGGGAUAUCUGACUGGCGGCCAGAAAUUUGUCACUGACUGCUACUGAGGCAGGGUGUCUGCUAAGAGCCGAUGAGGCGUAAGUUGCGAUGUGUGACCCAUCAUGUCAUCUCCCGAUAGCCAUAUAUGAGCUCUGUGGUACAGAACAUCGAUACUUUGCUAUUUUACCUAUUUUCUCUCAUGAUACCUGCAUUGCAUGAAUGAAAAACAG
Molecule: long non-coding RNA, 1782 nt
Organism: Aptenodytes forsteri (emperor penguin)
Lineage: Eukaryota; Metazoa; Chordata; Aves; Sphenisciformes; Spheniscidae
Exons: 3
Source: RefSeq, a predicted model, not a curated record